UGGCUGAGUGGUGCCGUCAGAUCCAGGAAAUGAAUAACACACAGGACAGAUGAAAUGAAAUGAUGAAGACGCUUGUUUGUGCCGGUUUAUUAUAAAUAAAAAGGUUUUAACAAAACACAGGACACGGCACUUGGGACGAACAAACACGAAAACCCAAAACAAAACGAUCAAAGAGAUUUCUUCAAGGUAGAGAACCCAAACAACGAAAAUAUAAAAAAAUGCGAUGCUUAUUAAAGGCGGGAAUGCAAACCAGACUGUAACCCAGGCACUGAAAGACACAUUUUUUCUGUGGGCUUACAGUACUGUGUGUCCGCUUGGCUGGCCUUGAACGUGUUCUGCAUAUCACAGCGCUGGAAGGGAAGAUCUAUUUUAGAAGCUACAAGAGUUAUGCCCUUCCUAGCCAAAGAAGAAGGUGGUUUCCCACAAUGUCUUUGGCAUGAAGUAUGGCUGUCUCCACAUGCAGAAGCAGGAUCUGGCCAAACUGCAGACCUGCAAAAUGAAGGGGCUGAAAAAGAGGAAAUGAGAAAAAACAGAGGGAGGGGAAGCGGAAGGAGAGGGAGGGGAAGCGGAAACAACCACUGCAAAGAAGGCAAAGACUCUGAUUGAAAUGCUCACUGCAGCCCUGGACGAUGGUUUUGUCGUUUGCGUGCUGCAUAGAGCAGGGGACCAAAUUACUGCUUUUCUUGUAGCUAUUUCAGAAAUGUUCACAAUCUUUCAGUGUGCCACUUUUUAAAAUAUAAUUUCUAUGUGGUACUAAAACAUCUGACAUCUACACAGUGGGUUGGGGCUGCUACAUUGCAGGCAAUUGCUUAAUGAAAAAGAAAAAAAAAAGUUUUUGUGUUUUACAUGUAACCCAAUCACUUAUGGCAAGUAUGUACCUUGUUAUGAAUGUAAAGUCUGUAUACAUGCAUCAGUGUUAAAAGUAUUCCACAACUGGUAGUACUUUUCUUUGUGUAGUCAGCAUUUUUGUAUUCUUUCUUUUACACAAUUGUUGCCUGUAAAACGUACAUUUGAAACUGAUAUGUUUGCAUUUCUCCAGGUUCUGCUAGUAAAAUCAUUUAAAGUAAACCUGGGCCUGCAUCAGGUUUUAAUCCCCACGUGCUGGAAAAAGGGCUCUCUGUGUUGCUGUACACACUAGUGCUUAAGCAGCUUAACAACAGUAGGUGGUGCAAGAAGUUCAAAGACAUGUAAACAUGAAAACAGGAGAAAAGGUUGGAAUGCAUUCAUACUGUAAAUGUACAUACACGCUUUACUUCGAAAUCUUUUAAAUUCUUCAGCAAAGCGACGAGCAACUGCUCAAGAAGUUUGAAAGCCAAAGCGAACUAAUGUAACUCGGGAAAUGACAUAUUCAAAGAACUACUGCAUUGAACAAGUAGACUACAUUUCAGAAUUCCUUAUUUUGUAUUUGUGGAAGAUAUUAUUACAUAAUAGUAGUUGUAUUAUUAUUAGUAGUAGUAGUAUAAGUAAAGUUUCUUACUAUGUUUUUAGG
Molecule: long non-coding RNA, 1489 nt
Organism: Acipenser ruthenus (sterlet)
Lineage: Eukaryota; Metazoa; Chordata; Actinopteri; Acipenseriformes; Acipenseridae
Exons: 4
Source: RefSeq, a predicted model, not a curated record